GGAGAGGUCGCAUAGCCCGGUCUAGUGCGGGCGCCUGCUAAGCGCCUGAGUGGGGUUAUACCCUGCUCCGCGGGUUCAAAUCCCGCCCUCUCCGCCA
Molecule: transfer RNA, 97 nt
Filed under: Chloroflexota bacterium
Lineage: Bacteria; Bacillati; Chloroflexota
Also listed under: 1 other name
Description: Chloroflexi bacterium (groundwater metagenome) tRNA-Ser
Rfam family: tRNA
About the family: Transfer RNA (tRNA) molecules are approximately 80 nucleotides in length.
Source: RNAcentral